AAACCAGCACCUCAAGUGGUCAGGAGGAUUAUUGGGCCUAAAGCAUCCGUAGCCUGUUCUAUAAGUUUCCGGUUAAAUCCAUUAGCUCAACUAAUGGGCCGCCGAAAAUACUGUAGAACUAGGGAGUGGGAGAGGUAGACGGUAUUCGGUAGGAAGGGGUAAAAUCCUUUGAUCUAUUGAGGACCACCUGUGGCGAAGGCGGUCUACCAGAACACGUUCGACGGUGAGGGAUGAAAGCUGGGGGAGCCAACCGGAUUAGAAACCCGUGUAGUCC
This 274-nucleotide ribosomal RNA is filed under the name uncultured bacterium. Its description in RNAcentral is "partial 16S ribosomal RNA". It matches the Rfam family "Archaeal small subunit ribosomal RNA", at positions 473 to 747 of the family's 1478-position model. The record is from RNAcentral.